Molecule: small nucleolar RNA, 59 nt
Filed under: Euglena gracilis
Lineage: Eukaryota; Euglenozoa; Euglenophyceae; Euglenales; Euglenaceae
Description: Eg-m116.1 box C/D methylation-guide
Source: RNAcentral
CAUGUGAUGCCUGAAACCUCCUGAUUCUGAUUCUUAUUGAUGAGCCUUUUUCUCUGACU